Molecule: ribosomal RNA, 429 nt
Filed under: uncultured eukaryote
Lineage: Eukaryota
Description: bacterial SSU rRNA
Rfam family: Eukaryotic small subunit ribosomal RNA
Source: RNAcentral
CAAUAGCGUAUAUUAAAGUUGUUGCAGUUAAAAAGCUCGUAGUUGGAUCUGGGGUGCAGACUGGCGGUCCGCUUUGCGGCGGUUUCACUGCCACGCUUCUGCUCCUACCUUGCCGGUUUUUCCCUUGGUGCUCUUCGCUGAGUGCCUCGGUGUGACCGGGACGUUUACUUUGAAAAAUUAGAGUGUUUAAAGCAGGCUGUUCGCCUGAAUAUUGGUGCAUGGAAUAAUGGAAUAGGACCUCGGUUCUAUUUUGUUGGUUUUCGGAAGUCGAGGUAAUGACUGACAGGGACGGACGGGGGCACUUGUAUUGCGCCGUUAGAGGUGAAAUUCUAGGAUCGGCGCAAGACAAACUACAGCGAAGGCGUUUGCCAAGCACGUUCUCAUUAAUCAAGAGGGACAGUCAGAGGUUCGAAGACGAUUAGAUACCAU